RNAcentral lists this ribosomal RNA (506 nucleotides) under Clonostachys sp. 94 XC-2016. Its description in RNAcentral is "eukaryotic LSU rRNA". The stretch from base 134 to 287 matches the Rfam family "5.8S ribosomal RNA". The record is from RNAcentral. Lineage: Eukaryota; Fungi; Ascomycota; Sordariomycetes; Hypocreales; Bionectriaceae.
UGUGAACAUACCUACUGUUGCUUCGGCGGGAUUGCCCCGGGCGCCUCGUGUGCCCCGGAUCAGGCGCCCGCCUAGGAAACUUAACUCUUGUUUUAUUUUGGAAUCUUCUGAGUAGUUUUUACAAAUAAAUAAAAACUUUCAACAACGGAUCUCUUGGUUCUGGCAUCGAUGAAGAACGCAGCGAAAUGCGAUAAGUAAUGUGAAUUGCAGAAUUCAGUGAAUCAUCGAAUCUUUGAACGCACAUUGCGCCCGCCAGUAUUCUGGCGGGCAUGCCUGUCUGAGCGUCAUUUCAACCCUCAUGCCCCUAGGGCGUGGUGUUGGGGAUCGGCCAAAGCCCGCGAGGGACGGCCGGCCCCUAAAUCUAGUGGCGGACCCGUCGUGGCCUCCUCUGCGAAGUAGUGAUAUUCCGCAUCGGAGAGCGACGAGCCCCUGCCGUUAAACCCCCAACUUUCCAAGGUUGACCUCAGAUCAGGUAGGAAUACCCGCUGAACUUAAGCAUAUCAAAA